This 116-nucleotide ribosomal RNA is filed under the name Enterobacter cloacae complex sp. 2DZ2F20B. The record is from RNAcentral. Lineage: Bacteria; Pseudomonadati; Pseudomonadota; Gammaproteobacteria; Enterobacterales; Enterobacteriaceae.
CCUGGCGGCUGUAGCGCGGUGGUCCCACCUGACCCCAUGCCGAACUCAGAAGUGAAACGCCGUAGCGCCGAUGGUAGUGUGGGGUCUCCCCAUGGGAGAGUAGGGAACUGCCAGCC